CAGCAACCUAUCAACGGGUUGUCCAAUUCAUCUCAAAAUGUCAGGGCAGAUAGAUCUUGACCUGAUAAACAAUUUUACCUGAAGACAGAUUUGCUCUAAAUGCUUUGGUUUUUGAGUGAUAAGCCAAAAACUGCAUUUUACCCCUAUGUUCUAUUUUUAGCCAUGGCGGCCAUCUUGGUUGGCUGGCCAGUUCACCGGACACAUUUUUUUAACUAAAUACCCAAUGAUGAUUGUGGUCAAGUUUGGUUUAAUUUGGCCCAGUAGUUUCAGAGGAGAAGAUUUUUGUAAAAGAUGACCAAGAUUUAUGAAAAAUGGUAAAAAAUUGACUAUAAAGGGCAAUAACUCCUAAAGGGGUCAACAGACCAUUUUGGUCCUGUUGACUUAUUUGUAGAUCUUACUUUACUGAACAUUUUUGCUGUUUACAGUUUACCUCUAUCUAUGAUAAUAUUCAAGAUAAUAACCAAAAACAGCAAAAUUUCCUUAAAAUUAGCAUUUCAGGGGCAGUAACCCAACAACGGA
RNAcentral lists this long non-coding RNA (519 nucleotides) under Mytilus galloprovincialis (Mediterranean mussel). The record is from RNAcentral. Lineage: Eukaryota; Metazoa; Mollusca; Bivalvia; Mytilida; Mytilidae.